RNAcentral lists this ribosomal RNA (494 nucleotides) under uncultured bacterium. Its description in RNAcentral is "partial 16S ribosomal RNA". It matches the Rfam family "Bacterial small subunit ribosomal RNA", at positions 28 to 507 of the family's 1533-position model. The record is from RNAcentral.
GACGAACGCUGGCGGCGUGCUUAACACAUGCAAGUCGAACGGAAAGGCCUGUCCUUCCUUGUGUUGGACGGGUACUCGAGUGGCGAACGGGUGAGUAACACGUGAGUGAUCUGCCCCCAACUUGGGUAUAAGCCUGGGAAACUGGGUCUAAUUCCCGAUAGGACUGCAGGGUGGUGCCUGUGGUGGAAAACGAUUUUCUAGUGGUUGGGGAUGAGCUCGCGGCCUAUCAGCUUGUUGGUGGGGUAAUGGCCUACCAAGGCGGCGACGGGUAGCCGGCCUGAGAGGGUGGACGGCCACAUUGGGACUGAGAUACGGCCCAGUCUCCUACGGGAGGCAGCAGUGGGGAAUAUUGCACAAUGGGCGGAAGCCUGAUGCAGCGACGCCGCGUGGGGGAUGACGGCCUUCGGGUUGUAAACUCCUUUCGACCGCGAGGAAGCCGCCUGGUUGGAAGGGUGGUGACGGUAGUGGUAGAAGAAGCACCGGCUAACUACGUG